GGAAUAUUGGGCAAUGGAGGAAACUCUGACCCAGCAACGCCGCGUGAAUGAUGAAGGUCUUCGGAUUGUAAAGUUCUUUUCUAAGGGAAGAAGAAAGUGACGGUAGCAAAUGAAUAAGCUCCGGCUAACUACGUGCCAGCAGCCGCGGUAAUACGUAGGGAGCGAGCGUUAUCCGGAAUUAUUGGGCGUAAAGGGUGCGUAGAUGGCACAAAAAGUCUUGUGUAAAAAUGCUAGGCUCAACCUAGUAGAGCAAAAGAUACUUUUGAGCUAGAGUAUGGCAGAGGCAAGUGGAACUACAUGUGUAGCGGUAAAAUGCGUAAAUAUAUGUAAGAACACCAGUGGCGAAGGCGGCUUGCUGGGCCGAUACUGACAUUGAGGCACGAAAGCGUGGGGAGCAAACAG
RNAcentral lists this ribosomal RNA (402 nucleotides) under uncultured bacterium. Its description in RNAcentral is "bacterial SSU rRNA". It matches the Rfam family "Bacterial small subunit ribosomal RNA", at positions 358 to 775 of the family's 1533-position model. The record is from RNAcentral.